This 1306-nucleotide ribosomal RNA is filed under the name uncultured bacterium. Its description in RNAcentral is "bacterial SSU rRNA". It matches the Rfam family "Bacterial small subunit ribosomal RNA", at positions 28 to 1380 of the family's 1533-position model. The record is from RNAcentral.
AACGAACGCUGGCGGCAUGCCUAACACAUGCAAGUCGAACGAUCACUUCGGUGAUAGUGGCGCACGGGUGCGUAACGCGUGGGAACCUGCCCUUAGGUUCGGAAUAACUCAGAGAAAUUUGAGCUAAUACCGGAUAAUGUCUUCGGACCAAAGAUUUAUCGCCUUUGGAUGGGCCCGCGUUGGAUUAGCUUGUUGGUGGGGUAAAAGCCUACCAAGGCGACGAUCCAUAGCUGGUCUGAGAGGAUGAUCAGCCACACUGGGACUGAGACACGGCCCAGACUCCUACGGGAGGCAGCAGUGGGGAAUAUUGGACAAUGGGCGCAAGCCUGAUCCAGCAAUGCCGCGUGAGUGAUGAAGGCCUUAGGGUUGUAAAGCUCUUUUACUAGGGAUGAUAAUGACAGUACCUAGAGAAUAAGCUCCGGCUAACUCCGUGCCAGCAGCCGCGGUAAUACGGAGGGAGCUAGCGUUGUUCGGAAUUACUGGGCGUAAAGCGCACGUAGGCGGCGCCGCAAGUCAGGGGUGAAAUCCCGGGGCUCAACCCCGGAACUGCCCUUGAAACUGCAGUGCUAGAAUCCUGGAGAGGCGAGUGGAAUUCCGAGUGUAGAGGUGAAAUUCGUAGAUAUUCGGAAGAACACCAGUGGCGAAGGCGACUCGCUGGACAGGUAUUGACGCUGAGGUGCGAAAGCGUGGGGGAGCAAACAGGAUUAGAUACCCUGGUAGUCCACGCCGUAAACGAUGAUAACUAGCUGUCCGGGCUCACAGAGCUUGGGUGGCGCAGCUAACGCAUUAAGUUAUCCGCCUGGGGAGUACGGUCGCAAGAUUAAAACUCAAAGGAAUUGACGGGGGCCUGCACAAGCGGUGGAGCAUGUGGUUUAAUUCGAAGCAACGCGCAGAACCUUACCAGCCUUUGACAUCCUAGGACGGUUUCUGGAGACAGACUCCUUCCCUUCGGGGACCUAGUGACAGGUGCUGCAUGGCUAUCGUCAGCUCGUGUCGUGAGAUGUUGGGUUAAGUCCCGCAACGAGCGCAACCCUCGUCCUUAGUUGCCAUCAUUUAGUUGGGCACUUUAAGGAAACUGCCUGUGAUAAGCCGGAGGAAGGUGGGGAUGACGUCAAGUCCUCAUGGCCCUUACAGGCUGGGCUACACACGUGCUACAAUGGCGGUGACAGUGGGCAGCGAACUCGCGAGGGUGAGCUAAUCUCCAAAAACCGUCUCAGUUCGGAUUGUUCUCUGCAACUCGAGAGCAUGAAGGCGGAAUCGCUAGUAAUCGCGGAUCAGCAUGCCGCGGUGAAUACGUUCCCAGGCC